GACGAACGCUGGCGGCGUGCUUAACACAUGCAAGUCGAACGGAAAGGCCCUGCUUUUGUGGUGUGCUCGAGUGGCGAACGGGUGAGUAACACGUGAGUAACCUGCCCUUGACUUUGGGAUAACUUCAGGAAACUGGGGCUAAUACCGGAUAGGAGCUCCUGCUGCAUGGUGGGGGUUGGAAAGUUUCGGCGGUUUGGGAUGGACUCGCGGCUUAUCAGCUUGUUGGUGGGGUAGUGGCUUACCAAGGCUUUGACGGGUAGCCGGCCUGAGAGGGUGACCGGCCACAUUGGGACUGAGAUACGGCCCAGACUCCUACGGGAGGCAGAAGUGGGGAAUAUUGCAAAAUGGGCGGAAGCCUGAUGCAGCAACGCCGCGUGCGGGAUGACGGCCUUCGGGUUGUAAACCGCUUUCGCCUGUGACGAAGCGUGAGUGACGGUAAUGGGUAAAGAAGCACCGGCUAACUACGUG
This 468-nucleotide ribosomal RNA is filed under the name uncultured bacterium. Its description in RNAcentral is "partial 16S ribosomal RNA". It matches the Rfam family "Bacterial small subunit ribosomal RNA", at positions 28 to 507 of the family's 1533-position model. The record is from RNAcentral.